RNAcentral lists this signal recognition particle RNA (265 nucleotides) under Oscillospiraceae bacterium. RNAcentral describes it as "signal recognition particle sRNA large type". It matches the Rfam family "Bacterial large signal recognition particle RNA". From Rfam's summary of the family: The signal recognition particle (SRP) is a universally conserved ribonucleoprotein involved in the co-translational targeting of proteins to membranes. Lineage: Bacteria; Bacillati; Bacillota; Clostridia; Eubacteriales; Oscillospiraceae. The record is from RNAcentral.
UCGCACUAGUUGGGGAGAUAGCGGUGCCCUGUCACCUGCAAACCGCUACAGCAGGGAUGAAUCCCGGUACUCGGGUCUAUGGUGUGUUGUCAGCCCUUGAUAAGCAGCGUUGACGAGCCGGUCUCGCGCAACGUGAAUUUGUGAACCAUGUCAGGCGGGGAACCGAGCAGCAUUAAACAAAACCUCAUGUGUGCCGCGAGGAAGCCGGUUUUGAGCCGGCUGUCAGGUUAGCGGGCAUAUCAUAUUUUCAAAGACCGGUGUGCGA